RNAcentral lists this ribosomal RNA (233 nucleotides) under uncultured bacterium. RNAcentral's name for it is "partial 16S ribosomal RNA". It matches the Rfam family "Bacterial small subunit ribosomal RNA", at positions 100 to 334 of the family's 1533-position model. The record is from RNAcentral.
CGGCACGGGUGAGUAAUACAUCGGAACGUGUCUUCUAGUGGGGGAUAACUGCCCGAAAGGGCAGCUAAUACCGCAUGAGACCUGAGGGUGAAAGCGGGGGAUCGUAAGACCUCGCGCUGGAAGAGCGGCCGAUGUCCGAUUAGCUAGUUGGUGAGGUAAAGGCUCACCAAGGCGACGAUCGGUAGCUGGUCUGAGGGGACGACCAGCCACACUGGGACUGAGACACGGCCCAG